RNAcentral lists this long non-coding RNA (452 nucleotides) under Gossypium raimondii (Peruvian cotton). RNAcentral describes it as "long non-coding RNA (GRAI_LNC010425)". Lineage: Eukaryota; Viridiplantae; Streptophyta; Magnoliopsida; Malvales; Malvaceae. The record is from RNAcentral.
GAUCUUAAACAACAUUGAAUGAGCACUACUCAGCCAAGUAAAGGGGUUGUUUAAAUAGUGGAAAAUUUUAAGGAAAUACUGCUGUAAAGGUGCGGCAAAAACAAAAAAAAUACAACAGCCCAAAAGUGAUGCACAAUGGGACGGCACACCACCACAAACAGCGACAAGAAAAGCUGAUUUGGGGUGGCUCAAUGAGGGAUUUUUUUACAGCAAAGGGACAAUUUUGGAAAUCAAGUUAGCAGCAAUGAGGGGCGGCUUUGGUGAUCAAAGUAGUAGAAUUAAUGGUUGGAAAAAUGGCAGCAAAACACCAAAAAAUAUUAUAUCAAAGGGAUGACUUAACUAUGGUGGAAAUACACUCUUGUUUGGACAGCACAAUGAAGAAAAGUGAAGAUGAAAAAUGAAAGACUUAGAGAGAAAAGGAGGGUUGGACGGAAAGGGAGGAGAAAUAAAAU